AUUGAACGCUGGCGGCAGGCCUAACACAUGCAAGUCGAACGAGUGGCGGACGGGUGAGUAAUGUCUGGGAAACUGCCUGAUGGAGGGGGAUAACUACUGGAAACGGUAGCUAAUACCGCAUACCAUCGGAUGUGCCCAGAUGGGAUUAGCUAGUAGGUGGGGUAACGGCUCACCUAGGCGACGAUCCCUAGCUGGUCUGAGAGGAUGACCAGCCACAAGGGAGCUGAGACACGGUCCAGACUCCUACGGGAGGCAGCAGUGGGGAAUAUUGCACAAGGGGCGCAAGCUUGAUGCAGCCAUGCCGCUUGGAAGAAGAAGGCCUUCGAGUUGUAAAGUACUUUCAGCGGGGAGGCGUUACCCGCAGAAGAAGCACCGGCUAACUCCGUGCCAGCAGCCGCGGUAAUAC
Molecule: ribosomal RNA, 406 nt
Filed under: uncultured bacterium
Lineage: Bacteria
Description: partial 16S ribosomal RNA
Rfam family: Bacterial small subunit ribosomal RNA
Source: RNAcentral